Molecule: unclassified non-coding RNA, 275 nt
Filed under: Hevea brasiliensis (rubber tree)
Lineage: Eukaryota; Viridiplantae; Streptophyta; Magnoliopsida; Malpighiales; Euphorbiaceae
Source: RNAcentral
GGGGAAAGGGAAGGAAAGAGAAAACUGCUUGUCAACUUAUUACAAAAGCACAUCCUAAGAGGAGUAGCUACUUCGCUUGUGAAGAUGUCAAGAGAAACCAUAUGAAUAUGUUGGUAAAGUACUCCAAAUAUGAAAAUCUGCUGCCUAGUUCCGAGCAAGCUGUUGAUGCCAAUUUAAGAUAUAAUCGAAUGCCAAGACUCGCCAAACUACACACAUCUCAAAAAGUUGCUGAACCUAUUGAUCCGGCUCAUAGUGUCAGUCCUCAUAGUGGACAU